This 250-nucleotide ribosomal RNA is filed under the name uncultured bacterium. RNAcentral describes it as "partial 16S ribosomal RNA". It matches the Rfam family "Bacterial small subunit ribosomal RNA", at positions 15 to 272 of the family's 1533-position model. The record is from RNAcentral.
GAUCCUGGCUCAGGACGAACGUUGGCGGCGUGCUUAACACAUGCAAGUCGAACGAAGGGUAGAAAUACCCUUAGUGGCGGACGGGCGAGUAACGCGUGAGCAAUCUGCCCUUGUCAGGGGAAUAACACAUAGAAAUGUGUGCUAAUACCGCAUGACGUUACGAAGUGGCAUCACUUUGUAACCAAAGAAUUAUCGGACAAGGAUGAGCUCGCGUCCCAUUAGGUAGUUGGUGAGGUAACGGCCCACCAAG